This 189-nucleotide non-coding RNA is filed under the name bovine gut metagenome. The record is from RNAcentral.
UAUACAGUGCCUCCCUGUCACGGGGAGGAGAAUAGGGAACCAUGUGAAAAUCAUGGACGGUAACCGCCACUGUGUAAUGCUCCGGUCCGGAGAGGGGCGCAAGGCCCGCCAUUGGGGAAACCUGAGAAGGCGCUUUCGGAUCGCGCGGCCAAGGCCGCGGGGGCAUAAGUCAGGAGACCUGCUGGAUAU